This 520-nucleotide ribosomal RNA is filed under the name uncultured Archaeospora. RNAcentral's name for it is "SSU rRNA". It matches the Rfam family "Eukaryotic small subunit ribosomal RNA", at positions 569 to 1093 of the family's 1831-position model. The record is from RNAcentral. Lineage: Eukaryota; Fungi; Glomeromycota; Glomeromycetes; Archaeosporales; Archaeosporaceae.
AGCAGCCGCGGUAAUUCCAGCUCCAAUAGCGUAUAUUAAAGUUGUUGCAGUUAAAAAGCUCGUAGUUGAAUUUUGGAUUCUUCCAAUUGGUCCAUCUUUUAGAUGAGUACUGGUUGUGUGGGGUCUAUCCGCCUGGUGAUACGUAAUGUCCUUUAUUGGAUGUUGCGGGUAGUCAGGACCUUUACCUUGAAAAAUUAGAGUGUUUAAAGCAGGCCUAUGCCGGAAUACAUUAGCAUGGAAUAAUAGAAUAGGACGAAGUUGUUUUAUUUUGUUGGUUUCUAGGACAACCGUAAUGAUUAAUAGGGAUAGUUGGGGGCAUUAGUAUUCAAUUGUCAGAGGUGAAAUUCUUGGAUUUAUUGAAGACUAACUACUGCGAAAGCAUUUGCCAAGGAUGUUUUCAUUAAUCAAGAACGAAAGUUAGGGGAUCGAAGACGAUCAGAUACCGUCGUAGUCUUAACCAUAAACUAUGCCGACUAGGGAUCGGGCGAUGUGUUUCCAUGACUCGCUCGGCACCUUAUGG